RNAcentral lists this ribosomal RNA (2894 nucleotides) under Alteromonas mediterranea. RNAcentral describes it as "23S ribosomal RNA". It matches the Rfam family "Bacterial large subunit ribosomal RNA". The record is from RNAcentral. Lineage: Bacteria; Pseudomonadati; Pseudomonadota; Gammaproteobacteria; Alteromonadales; Alteromonadaceae.
GUUGUAUGGUUAAGUGACGAAGCGUAUACGGUGGAUGCCUUGGCAGUUAGAGGCGAUGAAGGACGUGUAAGUCUGCGAAAAGCUGUGGUGAGCCGACAAAAUGCAUUUGAGCCACAGAUGUCCGAAUGGGGAAACCCACCUGUUUACAGGUAUCGUUACGUGAAUACAUAGCGUAACGAGGCGAACGAGGGGAACUGAAACAUCUAAGUACCCUUAGGAAAAGAAAUCAAACGAGAUUCCCCUAGUAGCGGCGAGCGAACGGGGAACAGCCCUUAAGCUGUUUAGUGUGUAGUGGAAUCCUUUGGGAAGAGGAGCGAUACAGGGUGAUAGCCCCGUACACAAAGCGUGCUUUACAGUGAAAUCGAGUAGGUCGGGACACGUGUUAUCUUGACUGAAUAUGGGGGGACCAUCCUCCAAGGCUAAAUACUCCUAACUGACCGAUAGUGAACCAGUACCGUGAGGGAAAGGCGAAAAGAACCCCUGUGAGGGGAGUGAAAUAGAACCUGAAACCGUAUACGUACAAGCAGUGGGAGCCCUUCGGGGUGACUGCGUACCUUUUGUAUAAUGGGUCAGCGACUUAUAUUUAGUAGCAAGGUUAAGCGAAUAGCGGAGCCGUAGCGAAAGCGAGUGUUAACUGCGCGUUUAGUUGCUAGGUAUAGACCCGAAACCCGGUGAUCUAGCCAUGAGCAGGUUGAAGGUUGAGUAACAUCAACUGGAGGACCGAACCCACUGACGUUGAAAAGUCAGGGGAUGACUUGUGGCUGGGGGUGAAAGGCCAAUCAAACCGGGAGAUAGCUGGUUCUCCCCGAAAUCUAUUUAGGUAGAGCCUCGGACGAAUUCCAUUGGGGGUAGAGCACUGUUAAGGCUAGGGGGUCAUCCCGACUUACCAACCCUUUGCAAACUCCGAAUACCAAUGAGAACUAUCCGGGAGACACACGGCGGGUGCUAACGUCCGUCGUGGAGAGGGAAACAACCCAGACCGCCAGCUAAGGUCCCAAAAUAUUGCUAAGUGGGAAACGAUGUGGGAAGGCACAGACAGCUAGGAGGUUGGCUUAGAAGCAGCCACCCUUUAAAGAAAGCGUAAUAGCUCACUAGUCGAGUCGGCCUGCGCGGAAGAUGUAACGGGGCUAAGCAAUAUACCGAAGCUGCGGCAGCAUGUUUACAUGCUGGGUAGGGGAGCGUUGUGUAAGUGGAUGAAGGUGAGUUGUAAAGCUUGCUGGACAUAUCACAAGUGCGAAUGCUGACAUGAGUAACGAUAAUGGGAGUGAAAAACUCCCACGCCGGAAGACCAAGGUUUCCUGUCCCAUGCUAAUCAGGGCAGGGUAAGUCGGCCCCUAAGGCGAGGCAGAAAUGCGUAGUCGAUGGGAAACGGAUUAAUAUUUCCGUACUUAUAUAAUCAGUGAUGGAGGGACGGAGAAGGCUAGGCAAGCUUGGCGUUGGUUGUCCAAGUGAAAGUGAGUAGGCUGAAAACUUAGGUAAAUCCGGGUUUUCAAGGCCGAGACACGAGACGAGCUCCCAAGGGAGUGAAGUUGUUGAUGCCCUGCUUCCAGGAAAAGCUUCUAAACUUAUGAUUAUAUGAACCGUACCCCAAACCGACACAGGUGGUCAGGUAGAGAAUACUAAGGCGCUUGAGAGAACUCGGGUGAAGGAACUCGGCAAAAUUGUACCGUAACUUCGGGAGAAGGUACGCCUCUGUUUGUGAACACUUCGCGUGGUAAGCAAAUGGAGGCCGCAGUGACCAGGUGGCUGGGACUGUUUAUUAAAAACACAGCACUCUGCAAACUCGUAAGAGGACGUAUAGGGUGUGACACCUGCCCGGUGCCGGAAGGUUAAUUGAUGGGGUUAGUCCUCGGACGAAGCUCUUGAUCGAAGCCCCGGUAAACGGCGGCCGUAACUAUAACGGUCCUAAGGUAGCGAAAUUCCUUGUCGGGUAAGUUCCGACCUGCACGAAUGGUGUAACCAUGGCCACGCUGUCUCCACCCGAGACUCAGUGAAAUUGAAAUCGCAGUGAAGAUGCUGUGUACCCGCACCUAGACGGAAAGACCCCGUGAACCUUUACUACAGCUUGGCACUGAACAUUGAACCUACAUGUGUAGGAUAGGUGGGAGGCUUUGAAGCACAGUCGCUAGAUUGUGUGGAGCCGUCCUUGAAAUACCACCCUUGUAUGUUUGAUGUUCUAACAUUGGUCCCUUAUCGGGAUUGUGGACAGUGUCUGGUGGGUAGUUUGACUGGGGCGGUCUCCUCCCAAAUAGUAACGGAGGAGCACGAAGGUUAGCUAAUCACGGUCGGACAUCGUGAGGUUAGUGCAAUGGCAUAAGCUAGCUUAACUGCGAGACAGACACGUCGAGCAGGUACGAAAGUAGGUCAUAGUGAUCCGGUGGUUCUGUAUGGAAGGGCCAUCGCUCAACGGAUAAAAGGUACUCCGGGGAUAACAGGCUGAUACCGCCCAAGAGUUCAUAUCGACGGCGGUGUUUGGCACCUCGAUGUCGGCUCAUCACAUCCUGGGGCUGAAGUCGGUCCCAAGGGUAUGGCUGUUCGCCAUUUAAAGUGGUACGCGAGCUGGGUUUAGAACGUCGUGAGACAGUUCGGUCCCUAUCUGGUGUGGGCGUUGGAUGAUUGAUGGGAGCUGCUCCUAGUACGAGAGGACCGGAGUGGACGAACCGCUGGUGUUCGGGUUGUCAUGCCAAUGGCAUUGCCCGGUAGCUAUGUUCGGAACGGAUAACCGCUGAAAGCAUCUAAGCGGGAAGCCGGCCCAAAGAUGAGUCAUCCCUGACCUUUAAGGUCUGGAAGGGUUGUUAUAGACGAUGACGUUGAUAGGCAGGGUGUGGAAGCGUUGUAAGGCGUUAAGCUAACCUGUACUAAUUGCCCGAGAGGCUUAACCAUACAACGCCUAA